Oreochromis aureus is the source of this 809-nucleotide long non-coding RNA. The record is from Ensembl. Lineage: Eukaryota; Metazoa; Chordata; Actinopteri; Cichliformes; Cichlidae.
GUGAAUACGCAUAUUUUGACCCUCACUCACGUAAGUCUACAGGAAUGCCAUUGUCGCUAGCUGUAAGUGGUGGAACUGCAGUUAUGUUAAAAUUCACACGUCUUAACGACAUGACUGACAGGAUCAAACGCUUGUACCGAAUGUUUAGCAUCGCACCAACCUGCACUUAUGAGCUACAACCUGUCGAGUUUCACAGUGAAAACGCUGCUGACCAAAGAGAUGCUAAUCAAACCACCGAAUACAGACAAACCGCUGCAAGUGUUCCAGCUGUAGCUUUAAAUGAACCUGUCCAAGAAUUAAAUUCCCAAACAACCACUGAGCAGACACGGAAAACUGUUACGGAGACUGUAAUCACUGAAGUGACAUCAUCCAGAGUGGAUUAUUCAGAUGAGACAGCUGCUACUGAAAACAACAAUCAUCCGUCUGAUUAUUUACAGAAAGAAACCUCUGCAUCUUCUGUGAGAGAAACUCAGGACUUGGAUGAGAAAAGGAUUUAUGCCAAUCCUGAGGUAACUGCAGCGCUCCAAACCAUGAGACAAGCCAGCGUUGAGGAAAUGAUGCCUCUUCUUCAGGUCAGAGAAACAGCCAGCAGACCUGACACUCUUACACUGAUCCAUCACAAUACAGAGGGUUUGCCAUCUCACAUCAGUGACAUCAAGAGUCAUCAUGAAAUGUGUUUAGCAGAUGUUUUGUGUCUCACAGAGUCUCACCUCCAAGGCUCCUUUGUUGCAGACAGUCUUCAUUUGGACGGCUACACCAUGUUCAAACGCAACAGACAUGUGUCCUACACAAACUUUCCUCACAUGGCC